ACUUGUAUUCAAAUUGAAUCUUUCCAUUGAGUCGCUCUUGCAAGUAGAACAUGGCAGCUGACGAUUCCUCUAUAAUAAAUACUUUUCUUAGAGCAGGAUUCUUUAUAUUCAACCUUUUUUGUUGUGCGAAAAGAACAUGAUUGUCCAAUGAAUUGUGUAAGUCAAGAUGUUUGCGAUUUGCUAAUGCAUGGAUUGAAUACCAGCAAGGAAUCCUUAAACCCUCUCUUCAUCCUUUGAGGUAAUGGAUUAAACUGUGGAGAAUAAUUAUUAAUUAUACCAGUUUUUAUACUUACUUUUACUUAAUUACUGUUCAAGCUAAAUCGAGUUUGCACAUUACGUUUGUUAGACUCAAAUAUGGCUUUUCCUUGCUAAUGUUUUUAGGGAUGGCCCGUUUGAGGUUCAAGUUUAGUCGGAUAGACUCAAAUAUGGUUUAGCUUUGCUAAUCCUUUUAGGGAUGGCAAAAGCAAGGGUGGAGAGAUGCACGUGUUUUGAGGCGUGGUGGUGAUAUUAGCAUCAGUGCUCAUCUGGUUUUCUUCUUAGGCCUGCCAUUUUGGUUUAUUGUUUGGUUCUGUUUUGCCUUGUGUUCCUCUGUUUUGUUCUGUUCCUGUGACGUUGGGCAUUUUUACCGUAGCUUUUAUGGCGAAUACUAAUUAAAAAAUGGCCUAAUUAUCAUGUGUUCCUUCCAAUUAGAUUUUAUAGACGGACCAUGGAGAUUUCAAAAUGUUGUAGGAAUCUAUGUUUUAAAAUUGUUUUCAGCGACCACCAAGUUUUCAAGCUUUUGACAAAUUGGCCAAAGUUGAUGGGAUAGAACCAAUGAAUUUGUUGAUGUAUAGAUACAAGCUGUGAUGUCUAGUGAAGUAAAAG
Molecule: long non-coding RNA, 864 nt
Filed under: Gossypium raimondii (Peruvian cotton)
Lineage: Eukaryota; Viridiplantae; Streptophyta; Magnoliopsida; Malvales; Malvaceae
Description: long non-coding RNA (GRAI_LNC005910)
Source: RNAcentral